This 718-nucleotide long non-coding RNA is filed under the name Eucalyptus grandis. Its description in RNAcentral is "long non-coding RNA (EGRA_LNC000254)". Lineage: Eukaryota; Viridiplantae; Streptophyta; Magnoliopsida; Myrtales; Myrtaceae. The record is from RNAcentral.
GAAUUGUCAAAGAUAAUAGUUAUAUUAAACAGCUCAAACAAACUACACUAUAUAUAAAGGGUCGGUAUGGUCCAGAAAGAUUAAAAAAAAAGAAAAAAAGGACUACUGGAUUGGUUCUGCUGGCAAGUAUAAAGUAUACUGGGGAUUAUGAAUAGUGAAUUGACGUUGUUCCAGCCAGCGGCGGAUAGUCAUUCUAUAUCUCUUAUUCAUGUUCCCAACUUGAACAGUGUUCAGAGCACCACGAUUAUUUUCUAACUCAUGCCAAACGCCUAUAAAUGCCCUAGCCUUGGCGAUGGAAGAUAGGACUAGAGCUGCAUUUUGUCGGACCUGUUGAAUGGCCUGAUUGACAUUUUCUCAAGGUUGCUCGAAGGCAUGACGAUGAUCAUCUUCAACUUGUCUGAAGACAAUAAUAAAAAAGAAAAAGAAAACCAUAUAUAAGAGCUGGAAAAAAAAAGAAUUUUGAGAAAAUAAUGUAAUUCUCACAUAAGUUGCUUAUCAUUCUAGGCUUUCGACCACGCAGCCUGAUGCAUGUUCAAGAGUUCAAAGUUCCACUGCAAAUUGGCAGCUGCAUUCAUUUUGAUCUGAAGAGGGGGAGAAGAGAGACUUUUGAACGAAGGAGGGUGAUGAAAGGGGUAUAUGUGCUUCUUAUAUACGCUGGUGGUGGGGUUCUUGCCCAGUCUCAAUCCAUUUGCUAUUAAGUGGUCCCCUUACGCAUGGG